Molecule: ribosomal RNA, 472 nt
Filed under: Streptococcus mitis
Lineage: Bacteria; Bacillati; Bacillota; Bacilli; Lactobacillales; Streptococcaceae
Description: bacterial SSU rRNA
Rfam family: Bacterial small subunit ribosomal RNA
Source: RNAcentral
GACGAACGCUGGCGGCGUGCCUAAUACAUGCAAGUAGAACGCUGAAGGAGGAGCUUGCUUCUCUGGAUGAGUUGCGAACGGGUGAGUAACGCGUAGGUAAUCUGCCUGGUAGCGGGGGAUAACUAUUGGAAACGAUAGCUAAUACCGCAUAAGAGUAGAUGUUGCAUGACAUUUGCUUAAAAGGUGCAAUUGCAUCACUACCAGAUGGACCUGCGUUGUAUUAGCUAGUUGGUGGGGUAACGGCUCACCAAGGCGACGAUACAUAGCCGACCUGAGAGGGUGAUCGGCCACACUGGGACUAAGACACGGCCCAGACUCCUACGGGAGGCAGCAGUAGGGAAUCUUCGGCAAUGGACGGAAGUCUGACCGAGCAACGCCGCGUGAGUGAAGAAGGUUUUCGGAUCGUAAAGCUCUGUUGUAAGAGAAGAACGAGUGUGAGAGUGGAAAGUUCACACUGUGACGGUAUCUACCA